ACCCCCUCCAUUCCACCCAGACAGCCCGACCCGCUCCUCAGCUCACCUCACGCCGUAACCUAAGCUAGGUUUUCCUCCUCCACCUCCACCGGCAUCACAUCGGACGCGCGGCGGCGUGCAGCCAUGGCGAUGGUGGCACAGGCGGGCUUCGGCCUCACCCGCGUCGUCAUGCUCGUCGGCGCGGGCGUGGCCGGCUCCGUCGUCCUACGAAACGGCCGCCUCUCGGAGAUCCUCACCGAGAUACAGGAGUUUCUGGAGAAGGGGGAGAUGGGUAAGGGAGGUGGUGGUGGUGCGGACCACGGCAUCAACGACGCGCUCAACGAGGUGCGCCAACUGGCUAUGCAGGUACGCAAUCUAGGUUCUCCACGUUCGAUAACUGUUCUCAGUGGAGGUUCUGGACAAACAGGAGUAUCAGGAUUAAUAGUACCUGCAGCAACUGUUGGAGCACUGGGUUAUGGUUAUAUGUGGUGGAAAGGCAUCUCCUUUGGGGACUUAAUGUAUGUCACCAAGCAAAACAUGGCAAACGUUGUUUCAAGUAUGACUAAACAUCUGGAGCAAGUUCAGAGCUCUCUUGCUGCUGCUAAGAAGCAUUUGACACAACGCAUUGAGAAGUUGGAUGACAAAUUGGAUCAGCAGAAGGCGCUUUCUGGGCAAAUAAAAGAUGAUGUUACUGGCGCACGACUGAAGCUUGAGAAUAUUGGUUCAGAGAUUAAGAACAUCAAAGAAUUGGUCUGGGGACUGGAUGAGAAGAUGGAUUCAAUGGAAGCCAAACAGAAUUUUUCAUGCGCUGGUGUGAUGUACCUCUGCCAAUUCAUAGAGCAAAGUGGUGGGAAGCUCCCUGAACGCCUGGAAGGCAUUAAACCAUCAGCAAAGCGAUUUGAAACAAUUGGCAUACAGGGGUUGCAACUAGCCAUAGAAACAGGGAAUUUUAGUGAUUUCAGCAAUGCUGAUUCCACUGACAAGAUAAGCAGCAAGUCGACAACCCGUGCCCUGUUUUGUAGGUCCAACUCGUUGAAGUCUGCCAACUAAUUUUUUUCGGGGUUGGUGAGAAAUGUAUCCAGAUUCGUUACUUAGUGGAACAUUUAAAGGGAAAUCCUUGCUGGAUAAAAUGUAAAGAGUCCCAGCCUUUUUGUUAUUUGCUUGCAGGAAGUGCUGUUUGUUAAAUUUGAAAAUGUGUGCGAAGUAGUAGGUACUAUGGAAUCUAGACCAGAUGUUAUUCUGGCAUCACUUAUGCCUUGCAUUUUUAUGCAAUACUUGCCGUAAAUAAAUGUACG
Molecule: ribosomal RNA, 1274 nt
Filed under: Triticum aestivum (bread wheat)
Lineage: Eukaryota; Viridiplantae; Streptophyta; Magnoliopsida; Poales; Poaceae
Description: partial small subunit ribosomal RNA
Source: RNAcentral